GGAGAGAUGCAAAAGCAUUUGGGCUGUGGAAAUGCCUAACUGCUGUGAAUGCUUAGUCAUUCAGUGUGGCCGGAGGUCAAGGUUGAGUGCAAGGCAGAGAGCAGGAAAUAAAACUCAUGAGAAAAGUCACAUGCUACUGAAAACUGGUUGAUUUGGGGAGAAGGGUUGCUGGAUGAAGAGAGCUCCUGGAUUGAGGUCAUGUCCAUGAAGAGAGAGGCAGCAUUUAUGAAAGAUGUAUUGAGAGGAUAGCUCCCAUGGCUCCAGGUUUGAGUUUAUUAUACAGGAUCAAGUUCAGCUGAAUGUAACAGGAAAACUCAAAAGCGGAUAGAGAGUCAGUCUGAGAUGAGUAUGGUGGUUCUGCUCUGCGAAGUGUGCAGGAAUCCAUGCUCUUUCUAGAUUACUCC
This is a long non-coding RNA of Bos taurus (domestic cattle), 404 nucleotides long. The record is from Ensembl. Lineage: Eukaryota; Metazoa; Chordata; Mammalia; Artiodactyla; Bovidae.